Molecule: long non-coding RNA, 828 nt
Filed under: Callithrix jacchus (white-tufted-ear marmoset)
Lineage: Eukaryota; Metazoa; Chordata; Mammalia; Primates; Cebidae
Description: lncRNA (ENSCJAG00000070185.1)
Source: RNAcentral
CCACCCGACUGCUUUCCCUGCUGCCUCCCUCUUUCACAUGAAAACUUUAAAAAUCCAGAUUGUAAUUCAUCUUUCCACCGUUGCACACAGCACCGGUCUGAUGGACAGAAGUGUGUGGUACCAAUUAGAUCUGCAGCUCUGAUUCCCUGCCUGGGAUUAGGCUUCUGUGCAAUUUGCUUGAGUUUGGACAACUCAAAUAUCAGAUAACAUUAAGGUUUACAUUCUCCGUCGAAACCUGUCCCAGGAAUUUACUGAUGUUUGCAGCAUCCGAUUACUCCAUGGCCAGAGAAGGCCAAGAGGAGAACCUUCUAUUUUUCUUGUUGACCUUUGAAAAGUAGCAUCCUGUGACUUCCUCCAUAAAGCCCGUGACCUUCAAGCGUCUAAACCUUCAACUUUUCCACAAAUUAUGCUGCUUUUUUUCCCAGUGUUUUAUCUAACAGAUAUUAGAAUGGCAUCAGUGUUUGCUUUUGCUGAAAGGAAGCAGAGUCCUGGGAGAAAGAGCCGCUGCCUGUGAUUGCACGGCCUUCCCUUGACGGUACCUUUCCCCUGGCAUGUGAGCCCUCAGCCGACUGGGGAUGCUUUCAAAUGAGACAGGAAACAGUUUAGGAUUCUUUUUCCUUUGCCUGUUCUUUAGAGGUCACCUGGCUCCUCAAGGUUUCUUCUUGGGCCAGCCUCACCUGCAACUCUGUGGGUGACCUCCAUCUGCUUGCAUGGCUUCAGUCUGCCAUCUUCCAAAAGGACAGCUCUUGGCUUUCAGACCCAAUUGACCACUGAUAUUUCUGCCUUCUGGUCCCAGGUGAGUUAAAAUCCUGUUCCCAUCUCUUGGCU